RNAcentral lists this long non-coding RNA (4036 nucleotides) under Marmota monax (woodchuck). The record is from RNAcentral. Lineage: Eukaryota; Metazoa; Chordata; Mammalia; Rodentia; Sciuridae.
AUGAACUUGUGGGGAAAAUACAGCAGGUAGGGAAAAGCUCAAAUAUAUUUUAAGAACGUUAAAUAAAUCAAUAUUUUAAGUUAUUAAUCUUUAUGCUGUAUGAGACUAUGAUGCUCAUUUCUUUCAAAUCCUUCAUUUUUACAGAUGAAGAAAUUGAAGUAAAAACAAAAGUGGUUCACAGGCUAUCACAUGGUUAUUGGCUGGCAGGUAACAAAGUACAUGCUGAGAUAUUUUUAUUCUUAAAAACAUCCUUAAAUAUAUUCUUCUAGAUGAUUUCACUUCUGGAAUAGAGUACUUACUGUCUCUUAAAUGAAGUCUUUCUCCUUGGGUAGCACUGGGGAAAGUCAGGUAAAUUCUUGCUUUCACGUCUGUGUUUCUGGACUCUGUACUGACCGGCUCCUCCCUUUCUGCCUUCAAAACAACUGAUCCGUCUGUAGCUUUUUCCAGUUAUGUUCUAGGCUGGAGGAUACACUGAAGGGGGCCUCUUAAUGGCAGGCGUGUAGCAUUGGUGUCUCAGUGUGGGGCACUUUUGCAGAGAUGGCUGUUCUCCUCCAAAGCUGACUCUCCUGUCCUCUAGGAUCAGAGGAGGCCAGGAUUGGGACAGUGUGAGAUUGAAGAUAUUGAAGAUACAGAUAUCCAGGUCCAGGUCAUUCUAUGGGCUGGGCUGUCCUGUAAAUUUGGGGCACCAGAGCCCACAGCACUCACUGGAGAGGACAGCUCUUGUGCACUACAAGGACAAUUGUGGCCCACUUUCAUUCUUGCCUGGUGCUGAGCUGGGAUGUCCCUAUACUUCCUGUUCACCAUUGGCUUGUGAGACUCGCAGAGUGUACUUUGUCCCUAGCUCAAUAAUCCUGUGGUAUCCCGUGAGCCACUUUUUCUGGGCUUCGGUUUCUUCUUCUGUAAAAAGAGAAGGAGAUUUGAAAGAAAUGAGCUUCAGAGAAUCAUGUAAUGUUUGUUUAAUAUAUUUAAUAUAAUAUACAAUUUGAUAUAACAGUAUUUGUAUUUAUAACCCGGUUUAAAAUACAAUGCUCCAUGACAUCCCCAUAAUUCUACAUUUACAUAUAAGGAGAUUGAGUCUUUUUUUAAGGCGAUUCCAUCUUAAAGAAGAUAAAGAUUGUCUUAAAACAUCCACUCAGCAAAUGAUUGAAUGAGGCCUCAGACACAGAUCAAACUUUUCUUUAAUUGCUAAGUGGUAAUGUCUCCCCGGUCUGAGUCAGAGGACUUUUACCUCCAUCUUUGAAAGGGAGAGCACAGCCCCUGGCUUCCCCUUCCUUGCCUCUCCUCUCAGAGCUGUUUCGCCCUCUUUUGUUCUUUCUGAGUUUUCCAUGUUUUCUUGCCUUCUCCCUCUCUCCUUCUCUCCAUCCCCUAUUCAUCCUCCUCUGAGCCUCGUGCCUCCUCAGUUCCCCUUACCCAAGGGCCAGCCUCUCUCAGCCUCUCUCGUGGCUGGGAUCUGCUUUUAUGAAGAUGUGGUCUAGAUCCUAAAUGGGCCCCCAAAGCUCAUGUGUUGAGUGCCUGGUCCCCAGAGGAUAGUGCUGUUGGGAGAGUGUGGCCUAGUUGGGGGAAGUAGGUCAUUGUGGACAUGCCCUUGUUUGUGUACCCUGGGGACCCUGGCCCUUUCCUCUUUCUCCCUUUGCCUCCUGGCAACCAUAAGGUGAGCAGCUCCUCUGCUGCAUGCUUCCACGGCCAUGAUAUUACUGCCUCACCACAGACCCAGAAGUGACUGGGCCAACCGUGGACUGAAACCUCUGAACCCAUGAGCCAAAUUAAAUCUCUCCUCCCCUUGAUUGUCUCAGGUAUUUUAUUUCAGCAAUGAAAAGCUGACUAACACAUUGCCCCACUCUGCUGGGGUGAAUCUGUGGAUUGAUGAUGACAGGAAGAAGGGGUACCUUGAUAACUGGGUGGUAGUUUAUAGUCUAGAGCAUUCUUUCCCAAGCACAGGGUGAAGAAUGACCUGUUUUGGAUCAAGGCACCACUGUGGAAGAAAGGUUUGAUUCCAGUGCAGAUGCAUGGGCCCCAACCCAGAGACUAUUUUCACUAGGAUUGGGUGAGACUUGUAACCUAUUUUCAAAGAAUCUUCAACAAGGUAAUACUGUGCCCACCAGGGCCUGUCCCUGUGGUGAUCCAGAGAGUGGUAAGUGUCCACAAGGGUACCUGCAAGGUUGUCUCAGGUGGCAGCAUACAUGUAGGUCACCAAACAUCACUUAGUCAGUUUGGCACUUGCUCAUCUUACAUGUCAAUGAUACAUCUGGCUCCAUCAGUAGAACUCCUUGCUUCUAAUUAGCAGAGUGAUAUUAAGUUUUCAUAGGGAGAAGUUAAUAAGGAAAAACAUGUUGAAGAGCUCCUUAGAGUAGACGAAAGUAAAAAGUGUUGGCUUUCUGAAUAGGACUCCCAUAGCUUAGGAAAUAAAUAGCAAGAAUCAACAAAUAGGAUGGCAUCAAAUUACAAUGCUUCUGCACAGCAAAGGAAAUCAUUAACAUUGUGAAGAAACAGCCCUCAGAAUGGGAGAAAAUCUUUGCCAGCUACUCUUCCAACAGAGGAAUAAUAUUUGAAUGUAAAAAGAACUCAGAUUCAACAUCAGAAAAACAAAUAAUCUAUUUAAUAAAUAGGCAAAUUAACUAAGCAGAUACUUCUUUUAAAAAGUACAAAUGGAAUUCAAUUUAUGGAAAAGUGCUCAUCUUUUGGCAUCAGGGAAAUGGAAAUCACAACUACAAUGAGAUUCCAUCUAACUCUAGUCAGAACAGCAAUCAUUAAGACCCCAAAUAACAAAUGCUAGCAAGGAUAUGGGGGGGAUGACUCAUGCACUGUUGAUGUGAAUGCAAAUUAGUACAGCCCCACAGAAAUCAAUAAGGAAUUUCUUCAAAAAACCAAAAAUCAAACUACCACAUGACCCAGCUCCACCACUCCUCAAUAUUUAUCCAAAAGAAUUAAAGUCAGCAUAUAGUAAUAAAUAUGAAUGUCUAUGUUUAUUAUGGCAAAAUUCACCAUUUCCAAGUUAUAGAAUUAUCCCAUGUGUCCAUCUACAAGUGACUGGAUAAAGAAAAUGUGGCACAAAUAUGCAAUGGAGUUGAAUUCCUUCAUAAAGAAGAACAAAAUUGUACCAUUUGCAGGAAAAUGGAUGGAUCUGGAGAUUAUCAUGUUAUGCAAAAUAAGUGACACUCGGACAAGUAACAGAAGGACAUCAUAAAAGCAAAAGGGUGACUAUUAGGUAGAGGAAGGGGUCUAGGAAAAGGAGGAGGGGAAGGCAAGGGGAGGUAUUGAGGAGUGCAAUUAGGAGUGCAAUUAAUCAAGUUAUGUUAUAUAAGUGUAUGAAUAAGCCACAGUGGAAUCCACUAUUCUGUACAAUUAUUAUGCAACAAUUAAAAAAAAAACGAAAAAAGUGUUGAGAAACAUUGGUUUAUGCAAGAAUGUCUGUAUUUCUGCUGAGAAGUUAAAAUUAUGCCAGGUCAACCACACCCUUUCAUUCUGCCUCUCUGUGCCCAUGGACAAUGGGGCCAAAGAUAAGAUCUGAAUUUACAUGUUAGAGUUUCUCCAGCCAUUAACUGUGAAUGGUCAUAUUUGCCCUGACUUGUACAGUUAGGAUGAGAUCUCUCUUUUAAUCCCAUGGCUCUAGUCAUUUGUUCCACUCGUUUGUCACUUAGCACUUAGCAUUAGUGACCUGACAUCUUUUGUAUGUGUCUGUUUUGUCUUCAUAACUAGAUUAGAAAGUCUUUUAUGGUAGAGACCUUGUGUUCACCUGAUAGUGCACUAAUUUACUCACGCGUCUAUCAGACAGGCAUUGAGCACUGCCAGGCACAGGGAUAGAUUAAAUUAAAAAAAAAUAGUAAGAUAUAGUCUCUGACUUUAAACAUUUCUAGCAAACAAACCAUGGCUUGGAAAAUAUAAUGACUGAGAUGUGUUUAUUUUGUACAGAAAAGUACCCUGCCCAGCGGAGAGGAGGCCAUCUUUAACUGAGGCUCAAAGGAAAAAUGAGGAAGAGUAAGUUUUCCAGGUAGAGAAUGGAUGGGGAACAGGAAGACCAUUCCAGGCUGAACUAGAG